UUAGGCAUAUUAUUCAGGGGAGGAAAAGAAACUAACUAGGAUUCCCUUAGUAGCUGCGAGCGAACAGGGAGGAGCCCAGCGCUGAAUCCCCGAGGCCUUGCCUCGUGGGACCUGUAGCGUUUAGGAGGGUCCAUUAGCUCGGAGACCGCAGCUCGCUCAAGUCACACUUGAACGGUGCCCCCCAGAGGGUGAUAGGCCCGUAGAGCAGACGCGGUCGCCGUGCGGGCCUCUCCUUAGAGUCGGUUUGCUUGAGAGUGCAAACCAAAGUGGGUGGUAAACUCCAUCUAAGGCUAAAUAUGACCACGAGACCGAUAGCACACAAGUACCGUGAGGGAAAGGUGAAAAGGACUUUGAAGAGAGAGUUCAAGAGUACGUGAAACUGAGGUGGUGAAAAACGGACGAGAUGGAAAUUGCUGAAGCGGGAGAUUCAGGCCUCAUACCGUACAGCGGCUAGGUGGCGGGGCUUCUGUACAGGGGUGCCUUCCGGUGCCCUUCCCACUAGGUUCCUACGGGUUCCGAAAUGGGAACUUUUGCUCUCGUUUGCCGACGCUCGCUCGGAGGGACUGCACUUCUCCCGUAGUAAGCCGUCGCGACUCGUUGGGGUGAUCCGAUCGAAGGCCCGUGGUGGAGCCCGCUCUCGCUCUUCGGAGAGGGUGGCGGACCCGCGGUGACCUGGUCGGCGCCCGACGGUACAACCCAUUGCAGGGCUGGGCCGCAGCAGCGCCUGAUGCUCUUCGAGCUAUCCCCAGGCGGGCUCGUGCCCUGGUCAGCGGCGCUUUUGCUUUCCAACCUCAUCCGACCCGUCUUGAAACACGGACCAAGGAGUCUAACAUGUGCGCAAGUCAUUGGGUUUUAAAACCUAAAGGCGAAGUGAAAGCAAGCGCGGCGAGUAGCUCACGCGAAAGCUGUGCAUGUGGGUGAUGGAUGUCCCUAACCGGCUUCCCGCAACCCCCGGGCGCCUCAUUCUCUCCGAGAGGGGGUGCACCGUGAGCGCACAUGCUAGGACCCGAAAGAUGGUGAACUACGCAUGGCGAGAACGAAGUCAGGGGAAACCCUGGUGGAAGUUCGCAUCGGUUCUGACGUGCAAAUCGAUCGACCGAGCUGUGUGUAGGGGCGAAAGACUAAUCGAACCGUCUAGUAGCUGGUUCCCUCCGAAGUUUCCCUCAGGAUAGCUAGCACUCAAUUCAGUCUCAUCCGGUAAAGCGAAUGAUUAGAGGCCUUGGGGCCGAAACGUCCUCAACCUAUUCUCAAACUUUAAAUGGGUGAGAUCCGCGGCUUUCUUGAACUGAAGCCGUGGACUCGCGGAUGACGAGUGCCCAGUGGGCCAUUUUUGGUAAGCAGAACUGGUGCUGUGGGAUGAACCAAACGCAGAGUUAAAGCGCCUAAAUGGAAGCUGAUGGGAAACCAUGAAAGGCGUUGGUUGCUUAAGACAGCAGGACGGUGGCCAUGGAAGUCGGAAUCCGCUAAGGAGUGUGUAACAACUCACCUGCCGAAGCAACUAGCUCUGAAAAUGGAUGGCGCUGAAGCUUCCUGCUUAUACUCUGCCGUCAGGGCAGAGGAGCGGUUUCGGCCGUUCGUGAAGCUCUGAUGAGUAGGAGGGCGCGCCGGUGUGCGCAGAAGCGAUGGGCGUAGGCCCGCGUGGAGCCGCCGGUGGUGCAGAUCUUGGUGGUAGUAGCAAAUACUCUGGAGAGGCCCUGGAAGGCCGGUGUGGAGAAGGGUUUCGCGUCAACAGUUGUUGAACGCGAGUAAGUCGAUCCUGAGCCCUAGGGGAAACCCGAUGUUGAUGGUCGUGCCUUGACAACCCCAUUUCCUGGCCGACCGUCGGGCGAAAGGGAAUGCGGUUUCGAUUCCGCAACCCAGACUACGGAUGCGCCUAGCGGGCUCUCAUACCCGUCACGGUAACGUGACUAACCCCGGAGAAGCCCUCGGGUGCGGUCAGAAGAGUUAUCUUUUCUCUGUAAGCACGCACGCUCCCUGGAAGCAUUUCGCAUGGAGAUAGGGAGUAGCGGGCGAAGAGCGCCGCACUUGUGGCGGUGUUGAACCGUAUCCCCUGGGACCUUGAAAAUCCGGGCGAGGGCCACGUGGACUCCGAGCUGGCUCGUACCGAUAUCCGCAUCAGGUCUCCGAGGUCC
This 2132-nucleotide ribosomal RNA is filed under the name Caprithrips moundi. Its description in RNAcentral is "eukaryotic LSU rRNA". It matches the Rfam family "Eukaryotic large subunit ribosomal RNA", at positions 34 to 1875 of the family's 3401-position model. The record is from RNAcentral. Lineage: Eukaryota; Metazoa; Arthropoda; Insecta; Thysanoptera; Thripidae.